This 69-nucleotide transfer RNA is filed under the name Nettastoma parviceps (shortsnouted sorcerer). RNAcentral's name for it is "tRNA-His". It matches the Rfam family "tRNA". Rfam says of the family: Transfer RNA (tRNA) molecules are approximately 80 nucleotides in length. Their secondary structure includes four short double-helical elements and three loops (D, anti-codon, and T loops). Lineage: Eukaryota; Metazoa; Chordata; Actinopteri; Anguilliformes; Nettastomatidae. The record is from RNAcentral.
GUAGACAUAGUUUAACAAAGACAUUAGAUUGUGAUUCUAAAGAUAGGAGAUAAUACCCCCUUGUCCACC